CCCUACGGGGCGCGACUGUACAAUCACGACAGAAAAGCCAUUUUUGCUCAAAGUCGACGAUAUGGUGGUCGAAGGGCGUAUGGACCUUUUUGUCGAGAAACCCGAUGCAAUAGACAUAAUUGAUUUUAAGUCGGACGCCGUGCAGGAAAGCGCACGCUAUGAGGUACAGCUUGAGCUCUAUCGUAGGGCGGCCCAAAAGUUUGCACCGGGCAAAAAGGUAAGGCUGGGGAUUUUCUGGCUUAGGACGGCAGAGCUUGCGUGGUUACAAAGUGAAAUCGGGGACGCCCUGCUCGCCGCCGCGCUUCACGAAAUACGGGGCGAGGCCGCGGUCGGUGGCAUGUAAGGCGGCAAAGCGGUCCCACUCGGCCCUGACGGUGGCGAUGGCGGCCUCGAAGGCGGGGAUUUGGUCGAAGCUUUUGGCGGGAGAGC
This 429-nucleotide ribosomal RNA is filed under the name uncultured prokaryote. RNAcentral describes it as "partial 16S ribosomal RNA". The record is from RNAcentral.